RNAcentral lists this long non-coding RNA (810 nucleotides) under Solanum lycopersicum (tomato). Its description in RNAcentral is "partial TCONS_00163613". The record is from RNAcentral. Lineage: Eukaryota; Viridiplantae; Streptophyta; Magnoliopsida; Solanales; Solanaceae.
CUUUGCAUCAAAACAAUUGUUUAUAUUUUUAAUCAUAUACACCAUCUUUCAAUAUGCAAAAGCAAGAAAACCAAGUAAAUCAACCACCUCCUCUAGGCUAUCCCAUUGAAUUUACUCCAAAUGAGAACAAGAAGAAAAAGAUGAAAGGGUGGCCAAGAAGUAAGCCAAGAGGAGAAAGAGGGUUCUUGGAAGGAUGGUAAGUUAGUUAAGUAAAAUUAUUUGGUCUCAAAUCAUAAGAAACAUAUAUAGUAUAGUAUUUUCUAAUAAUUAAUUAUAUCAUGAACUAAUCUAACUAUUCUAAUUGUCUUUUUUUCUUUUGCAAAGCCUCUUUGCAUUGUGUUGCUGCUGGCUAUGUGAAGUUUGUUUUGACUAAAACCUUUGGGGGGGGGGGGGGGAAUAUGAUUCAAUCUAAAGGAAUCAACUUGUGUUUCUCUAUUCAACUAGUGAUGCAAUAUGCAAUAUGCACUAUGCUAUAUGUGAUUCUUCACUUUAUAAAUUAUGUAACCAAAUUAUGUUGUUAUAUUUUGAGACUUUGUAUUGAUGAAGUUUAUAUAUAUCUUUUCUUGUUUAAUGAAUAAUAUAAUUCUUGUAUUCCUCCUCCCAUAUCUCUCUCUCUCUCUCUCCACAAAUACACUGACGGAAAUUGAAUUUUUAAAAUCUGAAGAAAUAAACACACUAACUAAUUGAAGAAAUUUGACAUGUAUUAUAUAUACAUAAAAAAAUAUUAUAACCAUAAAUAAAUAAUUUAAUUUUUCACUGAAUGGGAUUCGAAAGACCCCCGGCCAUAAGGUGCACAUGCACAUAUGUGAC